AGUGAACGCUGGCGGUAGGCCUAACACAUGCAAGUCGAACGGCAGCACAGUAAGAGCUUGCUCUUACGGGUGGCGAGUGGCGGACGGGUGAGGAAUACAUCGGAAUCUACUUUUUCGUGGGGGAUAACGUAGGGAAACUUACGCUAAUACCGCAUACGACCUACGGGUGAAAGCAGGGGAUCUUCGGACCUUGCGCGAUUGAAUGAGCCGGUGUCGGAUUAGCUAGUUGGCGGGGUAAUGGCCCACCAAGGCGUUGAUGGGUAGCUGGUCUGAGAGGGUGGACGGGCACAUUGGGACUGAGAUAGGGCGCAGACUCCUACGGGAGGCAGCAGUGGGGAGUAUUGCACAGUGGGAGGAAGCCUGAUGAAGAAACGCCGCGUGCGGGAUGACGGCCUUCGGGUUGAAAACCGCUUUCGCCUGUGACGAAGCGUGAGUGACGGUAAUGGGUAAAGAAGCACCGGCUAACUACGUG
RNAcentral lists this ribosomal RNA (472 nucleotides) under uncultured bacterium. RNAcentral describes it as "partial 16S ribosomal RNA". It matches the Rfam family "Bacterial small subunit ribosomal RNA", at positions 30 to 507 of the family's 1533-position model. The record is from RNAcentral.